RNAcentral lists this ribosomal RNA (365 nucleotides) under uncultured bacterium. RNAcentral describes it as "bacterial SSU rRNA". It matches the Rfam family "Bacterial small subunit ribosomal RNA", at positions 29 to 407 of the family's 1533-position model. The record is from RNAcentral.
AACGAACGCUGGCGGCAUGCCUAAUACAUGCAAGUCGAACGCGAUGGGGCAACCCAUUGAGUGGCGGACGGGUGAGUAACGCGUGGGAACCUGCCCAUCGGUACGGAAUAACCUCGGGAAACUGAGGCUAAUACCGUAUGCGCCCCAUGAGGGAGACUUGUGGGGAAAGAUUAUCGCCGUUGGAGGGCCCGCGUCGGAUUAGGUAGUUGGUGAGGUAACGGCUCACCAAGCCUUCGAUCCGUAGCUGGUCUGAGAGGAUGAUCAGCCACACUGGGACUGAGACACGGCCCAGACUCCUACGGGAGGCAGCAGUGGGGAAUCUUGGACAAUGGGCGCAAGCCUGAUCCAGCCAUGCCGCGUGAGUG